This 489-nucleotide ribosomal RNA is filed under the name uncultured soil bacterium. Its description in RNAcentral is "bacterial SSU rRNA". It matches the Rfam family "Bacterial small subunit ribosomal RNA", at positions 26 to 518 of the family's 1533-position model. The record is from RNAcentral.
AGAUUGAACGCUGGCGGCAUGCCUAACACAUGCAAGUCGAACGGGAGUAGCAAUACUCUAGUGGCGGACGGGUGAGGAAUACGUAGGAAUUUGCCCUUAAGUGGGGGAUAACCCGGGGAAACCCGGAUUAAUACCGCAUGACCUCGAAAGAGCAAAGUGGGGGAUCGCAAGACCUCACGCUUUUGGAGAAGCCUACGUCGGAUUAGCUAGUUGGUGAGGUAAUGGCUCACCAAGGCGACGAUCCGUAACUGGUCUGAGAGGAUGAUCAGUCACACCGGAACUGAGACACGGUCCGGACUCCUACGGGAGGCAGCAGUGGGGAAUAUUGGACAAUGGGCGCAAGCCUGAUCCAGCCAUGCCGCGUGUGUGAAGAAGGCCUUGGUUGUAAAGCUACUUUUGUACCGGAAAGAAAAGCACGUGGUUAAUACCCGUGGUGUCAUGACGGUACCGGAAGAAUAAGCACCGGCUAACUCGUCGCCAGACAACCGC